CCUCAUGAGGAAAUGGGGAACGCGUUCCUCCUGUGAACGGACUUCUAAAGGCAGCGAGAAGGCACCAAGAUACCUUCAUGAGAAUAAUUUAGAAGUGAAAACAAGUCCCUUUGACCACCUUAGCAGCAAACACUGGAUGAGAAGAGCAAGGCCCGGAGAGUAGGACCAACUCACUCGAGAUCAUAUGUGGCUCUUUUACCUAAAGGCUCAUGAAAAAGUUACCUGGCAGCCCAGAAAAACCCUACAAGGAGGAAGCCCUAUUUCAGACUCAACCAGUACCUUAUUGAGGGCCUGUCUACUGUGUGCUGGGCACUGUCCUGGGAACUGUAGAACGGUUACGUCAAUGAUUACUCACCACAACAAUGAGG
Camelus dromedarius (Arabian camel) is the source of this 368-nucleotide long non-coding RNA. RefSeq lists it as uncharacterized. The transcript has 3 exons. The record is from RefSeq and is a predicted model, not a curated record. NCBI's taxonomy places the organism in Eukaryota, Metazoa, Chordata, Mammalia, Artiodactyla, Camelidae.